RNAcentral lists this ribosomal RNA (465 nucleotides) under uncultured bacterium. Its description in RNAcentral is "bacterial SSU rRNA". It matches the Rfam family "Bacterial small subunit ribosomal RNA", at positions 153 to 617 of the family's 1533-position model. The record is from RNAcentral.
GAAAUCGAGGCUAAUACCCGAUAAUGCAGCAGCAUCGCAUGAUGACAGUUGUUAAAGGCCGUAAGGUGCCAAAAGAUGAGCUUGCGUCCCAUUAGCUUGUUGGCGGGGUAACGGCCCACCAAGGCUACGAUGGGUAGCUGGUCUGAGAGGACGAUCAGCCACACUGGAACUGAGACACGGUCCAGACUCCUACGGGAGGCAGCAGUGAGGAAUAUUGCGCAAUGUCCGAAAGGGUGACGCAGCGACGCCGCGUGAAGGAUGAAGGCCCUAUGGGUCGUAAACUUCUUUUGCGAGGGAAGAAUUUCCUGCUAUAGGCAGGAUUGACUGUACCUCGAGAAAAAGCAUCGGCUAACUACGUGCCAGCAGCCGCGGUAAUACGUAGGAUGCGAGCGUUGUCCGGAAUCACUGGGUGUAAAGGGAGCGCAGGCGGGUCGGUAAGUCAGUGGUGACUCAGGCUUAACCUGG